Non-coding RNA from Oryzias latipes (Japanese medaka), 1684 nucleotides. The record is from RefSeq and is a predicted model, not a curated record. NCBI's taxonomy places the organism in Eukaryota, Metazoa, Chordata, Actinopteri, Beloniformes, Adrianichthyidae.
AGCAGACAUCAAAUCUUGGAUGGAGCCUAACUUCCUAUGUCUGAAUGAAAUCAAGACAGAGGUGCUUGUUUUUGAAAAGACUGAUCUGCUAACAGGUUCCUGUAGUGCUGUUGGCCCCCUGGACCCUUCAGAUGCUUCUUUCAUUAGGAAUCUUUGGCUUGUUUUAUGCCAGCCAAACGAUUUCUCGCCAUACGGUUAUGGCGAUCCAACAGCGGAAGCGGUGGUGAGCGUGUUGCCUGCUUCCUUUUCACAAGGGACGUUUGGCGAGUGAUGUGAUGAGGGAGGGUUUCGCCUUUGAAGUCUAAAUAGUGUUGCGCCGUGUCUAAGAUCCUAUUACUUUUUGUUUCUUUUUGAGAGAUCUCAGACAGCUUGAGUGUCCGACCUGUCCUUAGCUCCAUUUGUCUCCCUUUUGGAAGCUCAGCUUGUUUUAUGCCAGCCAAACGAUUUCUCGCCAUACGGUUAUGGCGACCCAACAGCGGAAGCGGUGGUGAGCGUGUUGCCUGCCUCCUUUUCACAAGGGACGUUUGGCGAGUGAUGUGAUGAGGGAGGGUUUCGCCUUUGACGUCUAAAUAGUGUUGCGCCGUGUCUAAGAUCCUGUUACUUUUUCUUUCUUUUUGAGAGAUCUCAGACAGCUUGAGUGUCCGACCUGUCCUUAGCUCCAUUUGUCUCCCUUUUGGAAGCUCAGCUUGUUUUAUGCCAGCCAAACGAUUUCUCGCCAUACGGUUAUGGCGACCCAACAGCGGGAGCGGUGGUGAGCGUGUUGCCUGCCUCCUUUUCACAAGGGACGUUUGGCGAGUGAUGUGAUGAGGGAGGGUUUCGCCUUUGACGUCUAAAUAGUGUUGCGCCGUGUCUAAGAUCCUGUUACUUUUUCUUUCUUUUUGAGAGAUCUCAGACAGCUUGAGUGUCCGACCUGUCCUUAGCUCCAUUUUUCUCCCUUUUGGAAGCUCAGGUGGGUGAGGCUUUGCUUCAUUAAAUUGAAACUGGCCUUCACUGUGCAUUUCCUGAGCUUUCUCUCGUUUGGCCCUUUCAGCUUGUUUUAUGCCAGCCAAACGAUUUCUCGCCAUACGGUUAUGGCGACCCAACAGCGGGAGCGGUGGUGAGCGUGUUGCCUGCCUCCUUUUCACAAGGGACGUUUGGCGAGUGAUGUGAUGAGGGAGGGUUUCGCCUUUGACGUCUAAGUAGUGUUGCGCCGUGUCUAAGAUCCUGUUACUUUUUCUUUCUUUUUGAGAGAUCUCAGACAGCUUGAGUGUCCGACCUGUCCUUAGCUCCAUUUGUCUCCCUUUUGGAAGCUCAGCUUGCUUUAUGCCAGCCAAACGAUUUCUCGCCAUACGGUUAUGGCGAUCCAACAGCGGGAGCGGUGGUGAGCGUGUUGCCUGCCUCCUUUUCACAAGGGACGUUUGGCGAGUGAUAUGAUGAGGGAGGGUUUCGCCUUUGAAGUCCCAAUACGUUUGUGCCAUGUCUAAAAUCUCAGUUGUGUCCUUAUGCCUGAGACCUUGGUUCUUGAAACACACUUACAGAAGAACAUUUCAUGUAUUUGCAGAUUUCUAAGUACUAUGCAAAUGAUGUAAUUUAGUCAAAUAUGAUAUCAAAUGAUGUCACGGGGUUGUAUGUUGUAGUGUUGGGGACAUCAAAACAAGCAAUUAUGAAGUCACAGGGUUGUAUGUUGUGGUGGUGGUGACAUCAA